GAACGCUGCCCGAGUCCCACUGUUUUCUCCCCUAAACUAUCUCUAAAAGGGCCUCUUGGGAACAACUCUGUGGCUUACUCCCUAGGCACUAUCUCGAGGCGUUAAAGAACCCGGUAUGCAUUUUUAAGUAAAACUCCGCGCUGAGCCCGUGAGCUUGUUGGCACCAAGGCAGCCUGGUGGAAGGUGUCCCUGCCCAUGGCAGGAGAUGGGACAAGAUGAUCUUUAAGGUCCUUCUAACCCAAACCGUUCCGUGAUUCUAAUAAAUUCCAACGUACAGGUUAUAGGGAGCUACUAUCAAGUUGCAACAUGAUGGAUCCAUUAUCAUGAAUAGACAGUGUCUCAGAUGAGGAGGACAGAAAAAGUUUGCGGCAGAGAAGGACAGAAGGAAAAGGAAUUCAAGAUUUUUCAAAACAGGUGCCAAGAAGCAGACUUUCUUUCCUUGCUGCAGACAGCAGAUCAAACUCUGGAAAAGAAGAAACUGGCCUUCUUUUAGCCUGUUUGAAUGCUGAGGCAUUGGCUGAGUUUGGCACCAGUUCCCCAUCCCUGCUAUAUCCCAACUAUCCCUCCAGUGCUGUCAUGGGAAAAGUGUUUCUGCAAAUGCUCAUUUCUGGCAGAACACACAGAUGCAAAGUUAGGGAGAGUUGUGAAAGAAAUCUAACCAACAAAUGGACCUCAAACAGGAGGAAACACUGGAAAAGGAAAUUAAAGAAGGACUGUUAAAGAACAGUUCCAAUGAUUUGGAUGUACCACAGGAACAUCCUUGUCCCAACCACUGUAUAUGGAAGAAACUACACCGUGAUCUCUGUGGUAGGCACUGUGCUUCCAUGUCAUUUUAAAGGAACAGAAUUUUCUGGAUCUUCCCCUUCUUAGUUAAUAGCCAGGCACACCCUCACCCAAACCAUAUGUUAAUAACUUCAGACCACAAAUUUAAUUUCUCUCAGCUUUCCACCUGACAUCACUCCCGGUCACGUGGCGCGGACCCAUCCGUAAACAAAACGGGGAUUCAUUUCCAUAGCAACAGCCAGGGGGACUUUGAUCAGCUCCAAUGAUUAUUUGUAGGCACACAGAUACCAAACCCCUAAGUGAGGGCUGAUUACCUUGUUUUUUGAAAUGCAGGCAGCUCAGUUGGUUUAUAUGGAUGAGGUAGAGGCACUCAAAGCUCCCUGUGAAAGGCAAAGGAAGCCACUGGUCAUUAGCCCGGUGUCCCUUCCAGUUCCUUGGGAAUCUGUACAUUCCUAAUGCCUCUAAUGUGAUGUGUGUGUCCUGUGACCAAUAAAGUGUGUUCUUCGUGCUCCCUGGCAGAUGUGCAGGUGUUUUUGGGGCUGGCUCUGUGUGGGAUGAGGAGAGGUGGGAGCCUGUGGCUUGACAGGAA
This is a long non-coding RNA of Neopelma chrysocephalum (saffron-crested tyrant-manakin), 1372 nucleotides long. RefSeq lists it as uncharacterized. The transcript is spliced from 4 exons. Lineage: Eukaryota; Metazoa; Chordata; Aves; Passeriformes; Pipridae. The record is from RefSeq and is a predicted model, not a curated record.